UACUGUGAGAGAAAGUUAGUGAAGG
This 25-nucleotide ribosomal RNA is filed under the name Babesia vogeli. RNAcentral's name for it is "partial large subunit ribosomal RNA LSU5". Lineage: Eukaryota; Apicomplexa; Aconoidasida; Piroplasmida; Babesiidae. The record is from RNAcentral.